AUUGAACGCUGGCGGCAUGCUUUACACAUGCAAGUCGAACGGCAGCGCGGGCUUCGGCCUGGCGGCGAGUGGCGAACGGGUGAGUAAUACAUCGGAACGUGCCCAGUAGUGGGGGAUAGCUCGGCGAAAGCCGGAUUAAUACCGCAUACGACCUGAGGGUGAAAGCGGGGGAUCUUCGGACCUCGCGCUAUUGGAGCGGCCGAUGGCAGAAUAGCUAGUUGGUGGGGUAAAGGCCUACCAAGGCGACGAUCUGUAGCUGGUCUGAGAGGACGACCAGCCACACUGGGACUGAGACACGGCCCAGACUCCUACGGGAGGCAGCAGUGGGGAAUUUUGGACAAUGGGCGAAAGCCUGAUCCAGCAAUGCCGCGUGUGUGAUGAAGGCCUUCGGGUUGUAAAGCACUUUUGGCGGGAACGAAAAGGACUGUGCCAAUACCACGGUUCGAUGACGGUACCCGCAGAAUAAGCACCGGCUAACUACGUG
RNAcentral lists this ribosomal RNA (484 nucleotides) under uncultured bacterium. Its description in RNAcentral is "partial 16S ribosomal RNA". It matches the Rfam family "Bacterial small subunit ribosomal RNA", at positions 29 to 507 of the family's 1533-position model. The record is from RNAcentral.